This 297-nucleotide signal recognition particle RNA is filed under the name Saimiri boliviensis boliviensis (Bolivian squirrel monkey). RNAcentral describes it as "Metazoan signal recognition particle RNA (ENSSBOG00000012772.1)". It matches the Rfam family "Metazoan signal recognition particle RNA". From Rfam's summary of the family: The signal recognition particle (SRP) is a universally conserved ribonucleoprotein. It is involved in the co-translational targeting of proteins to membranes. Lineage: Eukaryota; Metazoa; Chordata; Mammalia; Primates; Cebidae. The record is from RNAcentral.
GCCGGGGGCGGUGGCACGUGCCUGUAUUCCCAGCUACUCGGGAGGCUGAGGUGGGAGGAUCGCUUGAGCCCAGGAUUUCUGGGCUAUAGUGUGCUAUGCUAAUUAGGUGUCUGCACUAAGUUUGGCAUCAAUAUGGUGACCUCCCGGGAGCGGAGGACCACCAGGUUGCCUGAGGAGGGGUGAACCAGCCUGGAUUGGAAACAGCAGGUUAAAACUCCUGUGCUGAUCAGUAGUGGGAUUGCACCUGUGAUUAGCCACUGCACUCCAGCCUGGGCAACAUAGCAAGACCCUAUCUCU